This 253-nucleotide ribosomal RNA is filed under the name uncultured bacterium. Its description in RNAcentral is "partial 16S ribosomal RNA". It matches the Rfam family "Bacterial small subunit ribosomal RNA", at positions 524 to 776 of the family's 1533-position model. The record is from RNAcentral.
UACGGGGGAUGCGAGCGUUAUCCGGAUUUAUUGGGUUUAAAGAGUUCGUAGGCGGCACGUAAAGUCUGGUGUUAAAGGCAGAGGCUCAACUUCUGUACGGCACUGGAUACUUGCGAGCUAGAAUGCGGUAGAGGUAAAGGGAAUUCCUGGUGUAGCGGUGAAAUGCUUAGAUAUCACGCAGAACUCCGAUUGCGAAGGCAGCUUACUAAGCCAUAACUGACACUGAAGCACGAAAGCGUGGGGAUCAAACAGG